CUUAGCUCAGCUGGAUAGAGCAACUGCCUUCUAAGCAGUAGGUCACUGGUUCGAAUCCAGUAG
Molecule: transfer RNA, 63 nt
Filed under: marine eukaryotic metagenome
Rfam family: tRNA
About the family: Transfer RNA (tRNA) molecules are approximately 80 nucleotides in length. Their secondary structure includes four short double-helical elements and three loops (D, anti-codon, and T loops).
Source: RNAcentral